Molecule: ribosomal RNA, 981 nt
Filed under: uncultured Flavobacteriaceae bacterium
Lineage: Bacteria; Pseudomonadati; Bacteroidota; Flavobacteriia; Flavobacteriales; Flavobacteriaceae
Description: bacterial SSU rRNA
Rfam family: Bacterial small subunit ribosomal RNA
Source: RNAcentral
CAGCAGCCGCGGUAAUACGGAGGGUGCAAGCGUUAUCCGGAUUUAUUGGGUUUAAAGGGUCCGUAGGCGGGCUUAUAAGUCAGUGGUGAAAGCCGGCAGCUUAACUGUCGAACUGCCAUUGAUACUGUAAGUCUUGAGUAUAUUUGAGGUAGCUGGAAUAAGUAGUGUAGCGGUGAAAUGCAUAGAUAUUACUUAGAACACCAAUUGCGAAGGCAGGUUACCAAGUUAUAACUGACGCUGAUGGACGAAAGCGUGGGGAGCGAACAGGAUUAGAUACCCUGGUAGUCCACGCUGUAAACGAUGCUAACUCGUCUUUGGGGCGUUAAGCUUCAGAGACCAAGCGAAAGUGAUAAGUUAGCCACCUGGGGAGUACGUUCGCAAGAAUGAAACUCAAAGGAAUUGACGGGGGCCCGCACAAGCGGUGGAUUAUGUGGUUUAAUUCGAUGAUACGCGAGGAACCUUACCAAGACUUAAAUGGGAAUUGACAGACGCAGAAAUGUGUUUUUCUUCGGACAAUUUUCAAGGUGCUGCAUGGUUGUCGUCAGCUCGUGCCGUGAGGUGUUAGGUUAAGUCCUGCAACGAGCGCAACCCCUGCCAAUAGUUGCCAUCAUUCAGUUGGGGACUCUAUUGGGACUGCCUACGCAAGUAGCGAGGAAGGUGGGGAUGACGUCAAAUCAUCACGGCCCUUACGUCUUGGGCCACACACGUAAUACAAUGGCCGGUACAGAGGGCAGCUACACUGCGAAGUGAUGCGAAUCUCGAAAGCCGGUCUCAGUUCGGAUUGGAGUCUGCAACUCGACUCUAUGAAGCUGGAAUCGCUAGUAAUCGCGCAUCAGCCAUGGCGCGGUGAAUGCAUUCCCGGGCCUUGUACACACCGCCCGUCAAGCCAUGGAAGUUUGGGGUACCUGAAGUCGGUGACCGUAAAAGGAGCUGCCUAGGGUAAAACAAGUAACUAGGGCUAAGUCGUAACAAGGUAGCCGU